This 296-nucleotide ribosomal RNA is filed under the name uncultured bacterium. RNAcentral describes it as "partial 16S ribosomal RNA". It matches the Rfam family "Bacterial small subunit ribosomal RNA", at positions 333 to 648 of the family's 1533-position model. The record is from RNAcentral.
GGAGUCCUACGGGAGGCAGCAGUGGGGAAUAUUGCGCAAUGGGGGAAACCCUGACGCAGCAACGCCGCGUGCGGGAUGAAGGCCUUCGGGUUGUAAACCGCUUUCAGCAGGGAAGAUCCAAGACGGUACCUGCAGAAGAAGCCCCGGCUAACUACGUGGCAGCAGCCGCGGUAAUACGUAGGGGGCAAGCGUUAUCCGGAUUCAUUGGGCGUAAAGCGCGCAGGCGGGGUGCUAAGCGGGACCUCCAAUCUCAGGGCUCAACCUUGAGCCGGGUCCCGAACUGGCAGGCUCGGGUU